UGGGGAAUAUUGGACAAUGGGCGAAAGCCUGAUCCAGCAAUGCCGCGUGAGUGAUGAAGGCCUUAGGGUUGUAAAGCUCUUUUACCCGGGAUGAUAAUGACAGUACCGGGAGAAUAAGCCCCGGCUAACUCCGUGCCAGCAGCCGCGGUAAUACGGAGGGGGCUAGCGUUGUUCGGAAUUACUGGGCGUAAAGCGCACGUAGGCGGCUUUAUAAGUCAGAGGUGAAAGCCUGGAGCUCAACUCCAGAAUUGCCUUUGAGACUGUAUCGCUUGAACGUCGGAGAGGUGAGUGGAAUUCCGAGUGUAGAGGUGAAAUUCGUAGAUAUUCGGAAGAACACCAGUGGCGAAGGCGGCUCACUGGACGACUGUUGACGCUGAGGUGCGAAAGCGUGGGGAGCAAACAGGAUUAGAUACCCGCGUAGUCC
This 424-nucleotide ribosomal RNA is filed under the name uncultured bacterium. RNAcentral describes it as "bacterial SSU rRNA". It matches the Rfam family "Bacterial small subunit ribosomal RNA", at positions 355 to 796 of the family's 1533-position model. The record is from RNAcentral.